AACGAACGCUGGCGGCGUGGAUUAGGCAUGCAAGUCGAACGAGAAAGUCACUUCGGUGGCGAGUAAAGUGGCGAAAGGGCGAGUAAUGCGUGGACAAUCUACCCUCAAGAUGGGGGAUAAUCACCCGAAAGGGUGACUAAUACCGAAUGUGGCGCUGAGAUCGCAUGUUUUUGGCGCUAAAGGUGGGGACCUUCGGGCCUACCGCUUGGGAGGAGUUCACGUUCUAUCAGCUAGNGGUGGGGUAACGGCCCACCAAGGCAGCGACGGAUAGGCGGCCUGAGAGGGUGGUCGCCCGCACUGGGACUGAGACACUG
This 314-nucleotide ribosomal RNA is filed under the name uncultured bacterium. RNAcentral describes it as "bacterial SSU rRNA". It matches the Rfam family "Bacterial small subunit ribosomal RNA", at positions 29 to 329 of the family's 1533-position model. The record is from RNAcentral.